Non-coding RNA from Chlorocebus sabaeus (green monkey), 2264 nucleotides. The record is from RefSeq and is a predicted model, not a curated record. NCBI's taxonomy places the organism in Eukaryota, Metazoa, Chordata, Mammalia, Primates, Cercopithecidae.
UUAACACUCAUGAGUUGCUGUCUUAUGGUGACAUCGUUUGAGUCUCUCUAGUCAUUGAACAGAACAAGAAAAAUAAAUCGAAUUAAAUUUAUAAUCUGAAGUUAUAUGUGACCCAUCACAUCUGUCAAGUUUUAAAAUGGGUUUUGUUUUGUUUUUUUGGUGGGGGGAGCGUCCAGCAGCUUUUAAAUGUUAAUUUUCACAUCAUGUGUUCCAAAAAUAAUUGGUUAGCCUAGGUCACUUCCACCCUCCAACGCUGUGAAUACAGGCUCUGUAGCAUUCGCUAUUUAAUGUCUUAUCUUCCCGAGCUAUUUGAGAAAUCGCUAGGUCGCCUUAAUACCGCAGUCGCCACUUUGCGGACUGGAGGGCGGAGUCUGCUUCGUUCUGAGAACUGCGUGGCUCCGCGCAGAGAGCUCCUGCUAGGCCUGCGAGUCCUGUUCUGAAUUCUUACCCUUAUUCAGUCCUUGUCACCACCCCCGCCGUGGGAACGGCCGGACGGCCACUCGUCAAAGGAAGUGGCUGCCGGCAGCUCUUGACCCGGAAUCGGAUCCUAGUCCCACCCCUUCUGCUCCAGGCUUCCUUCUGCAACAGGCGUGGGUCACGCUCUCGCUCGCUCUCUUUCUGCCGCCAUCUUGGUUCCGCGUUCCCUGCACAAAAUGCCCGGCGAAGCCACAGAAACCGUCCCUGCUACAGAGCAGGAGUUGCCGCAGCCCCAGGCUGAGACAGGUAGGUUCCCCUAGCCCCCUUGCCAUUAAUUAAAAUUGACCCUAAGGCCAUUUGGUGGCAAAAUGACCAAGAGGAAGUACACUGUGUAAGAGGAUGGGGUUGCAGCUUUACCGAGGAGGAUAGACCGUAAAAUUACUAUCCUGGAGAUACUUCUUUAGGAAUUUGGAGUAAAAGUAUAUUUUUAAGAUUCGUGGACGUUAAAAGUUCCCUAGCUUGCUUUCUGUUAUGCCUGUUGCCUCUAAAGAAGCUCUCCUGUGGAACCCCCACCUUACAUAGGAAAACUGAGCAGGGAAGGGGCUCGGUGAUUCUUACCUAUUGGAACUAGAUGACACAGGCCAAGGAGCCUGGAGCAUUUGUGAAGCUCCAGCCAGCAAGUUGCAUCAAGGUUUUAGUUAGCAGAGCUUGGCAUUGUGCCUUUAUCACAUGUCUGGAUGAGAUGUGUGCUGGUGGUGUGUCCUACUGGGCCCCAGAGUCCUCCUAGGUCGUAUAACUUGUUUAUGGAUUGGUGGUGCUGAGAUAUUUCUAGUGUGCUGGAAUAGUUCCUGCAUCAUUGUGUGAAACCCGGGAUUGAAAUAAAUCCUUCUUUUAUCCUCAACGUUGAAAGUAGUGACUGUGAAGGCUAAUUUUUAAAUUCUGGUUAAAACAUAUCUCUGUAAAAAAACUUAGGAGGAGGUAGUGAAAAGUUCUUAAAAUGAUAGCCUUUCUGAGUCAGUUGUGCAGCGCUAAAUGAAGGAACUCUUCAGGCUGUAAUCUUCAUUCUCAGCUUUUUAUGAUUUUUUUUUAUUUCAUUUGUUAUUUAAGGACACGUCCUUUCCCUUUUUGGAGUUACAGUAGAGUUGCUUAUGGUUGAAAGCAAUAAGCUUCCCACCUGUUUGAUUUUAGCAGCUGAAGGGAUUAAUACAGCUGCUAGGAAGAAUGGGGAGUUCUGAGCUGGAGUAUAAACAAUAUGAAAUUCUUGAAGUACAAGGGGCUUAAGGAAGGGAAAAAAUAAAGUACUCUUCUCUAAAGAUUCUGUGAUUUCAGUGCAAAACGAGAUUUUAGAGAUUGUGUCAUUGAACAGCUUAAUUUUACAAAUAUAAAGACUUGAAAUUCAGAUGAAUUUAGAAAAAUCUGAUUUAAGCUUCAAAACUAAUGCAUUUACUUCUGAAACAGUCCUUAAUGCUAUUAAAUGUAUUCCUGAAUAGUUUGAGUUGUAUAGUAGGCUUAUAUUAAGGAAGUACCAAUGAUAAAUACACAGGAUUUUGUCUGUAAUGAUAGUCUUUUAGAAUGAAGUAGGAAGCUCAAGGAAUUGGUUAUGGUGUCAAAGCAAGUAUUUGGGGCCUUAUUCCAUUUGAGGUACAGUCAGAAGAAAAUAUAUUCCAUGUUUUUGUGAUUCGUUAUGUUUGGUAGUGUUUUCCUGUAAUCGUUAGACUUUGGCCUACCCACUCUACAGGAAAAACUGGUUGAGCCACCUUGUCUUUUCCAUGGUAGCAUGCCAUAAGAAUCUCAGAAUUACUGGUUCAGUGAAUUUUGAAUUUGAAUUUUGGUACCACGGACUUUUU